This 253-nucleotide ribosomal RNA is filed under the name uncultured bacterium. RNAcentral's name for it is "partial 16S ribosomal RNA". It matches the Rfam family "Bacterial small subunit ribosomal RNA", at positions 524 to 776 of the family's 1533-position model. The record is from RNAcentral.
UACAGAGGUCCCGAGCGUUGUUCGGAUUCAUUGGGCGUAAAGGGUGCGUAGGCGGUUGGGUAAGUCAGAUGUGAAAUUCCAGGGCUCAACCUUGGAACUGCAUUUGAUACUGCCUGACUAGAGUACUGGAGAGGAGACUGGAAUUCACGGUGUAGCAGUGAAAUGCGUAGAUAUCGUGAGGAAGGCCAGUGGCGAAGGCGAGUCUCUGGACAGUUACUGACGCUGAGGCACGAAGGCCAGGGGAGCAAACGGG